CCCAGAGGCGACCACUAACACCAAUCCUGUUAUUCUUCUUCCACAGAUAUUGCUGGGACUCAGUCAUAUCUGCAGGAGUGUAUUUCCCCCUUAUUUUGGAUAGAUACUCGCAUGCUGUGACCACUCUUCUAUACCAUGCUUUUCCCCUUAAUGGUGCAUUCUUUUCUGUAUCGACACAUACUGAACUUCCUUAUUCUUUCAAGGAGCUGCAUGACUUUGCAUUCCCUGGAUGGCAUUUAUUUUUACCAGUCUCCUGCCAAGAGACGUGAAGGAGGUCUGCUCUUUUGCUAAUGCAAACACGGAGAUGAGGCUGCGAGGGACGAAUGAUUUCAACUUCCCACCUCCUACCCACAAACAUCAACAUGGAUCCCAAUUCUCUAUGCAUCCAAGGUCAAGCCGCCUUCUCCCGUUCAAAGCUCAUCCCUCCACCUGUGCUCAGAUAUCUCCCCUCCCACCUCCUCCGAGACCCCGAUUCAUCCCACCACCCGCCUCUCUUCUACCUCUGCCUCUUUCCACUGGUUCUUCCUCCAUGGUGCAUAAACCCAUGCAAGUCUCUUCCACUCGAGGAAGGAAGGAGACCAAAGAGAAGACACUCCUCCACACCCAGGUUUCUUACACAUGAAGUAAAUCUCUACUCGUUUCCUCUCUACCACUUCGCUUUUAGUGCAUUGUUAUUUUCAAAGUCAUAUAUGCACAUGGUGUAAGGGGUCGGACACAAUCACAAGGCCCAUACCCCAACCCUCUCCAACUCCCUUCUCCCCAGAGGCAGCUACCUUCACCUACUUCAGAUGUUCCUUCUGGUAUUGACCUCCAUGUUCCCAAACAACCUGCUCACUUUGCUACUUUCUGAUUUUCUUCUUAAGCAUCUCUGGCGUCCUGCCAUACGAGGUGAAGACUGAGCUCCCUUCUGCCCCUCUCCCCCACAGCCAAAUACUUUCCCUCCUGGCAUCCCAUACUCCCAAGAGAAUGGUAUCAGUGGAGGUUAGGUCAAUAUUCAAUAUUUAUGCUUUCAAGUCUACACGUAAGUUAUCCAGAGUCGUCCUGAUGACCUUUCUCUUCCAGCACCAGGUGGUCUUCCCUGAAUCACUGUCAUUUUGAGGGAACUCGGCAGAAAAAUUUGCCACCUCUGGACACAUCAAAAUGUCUUUAUUCCAUCUUUGUUUUGGCUGUUCUGAGAGUCCACGUCUCCCCUAAAAUCUCUUCCUCCGUGCUGUGAGGACAGAAGCUGGCCACCUAGGUAAGGACUGGAUUUCCCAGAACCCCAGAGUUGGGUGAGACCAUACGACUGUUUAUUCAGCGGAAUGUGAGUAGGAAUUAUCUGGGCUGCUUCCUAGUCAGACCUCUGAGCCGGGGUCUGCCUCCCCCACGUUUCCUCCUCCUCCUCACUGCCAGCUAUGACCCAGGCAGGCAGCCAGCCAGUCUCUACAGGACAGACGGCACUGCCCCAGGGCAGUGUCCCUCAGAGGUUACUGUGCAUUCAGAUCACCUGAGGAACUUCAAACCCAGAUACUGAAUCGGAAGAUGUGUGCGGGGCCUGCGAUUCUGCAGGUCUAGCGAGCUUCUAGGUCAUGUCAGUGCUGCUGACCUGCAGACCACACGUUGGAGUACAAGACCCUACAGGGUGGCAGAGCUGAGCGGCUCGUCUUGAUCUCCAGCUGAUCUGUACGGCUGAAUUACCCACGCUGGGCUGUUUUACGGGGGAAAAAAAUUAAGUUCUAUGUUGUUGAAUCGUUGCAUUUUUAGCCUUCAUCCUAGCACAGCCGGAGUAUAAAAUUCCAGAUUGGAACAACUCAGUAAAUAAACUUUCAUUUAAUCCUUA
Long non-coding RNA from Callorhinus ursinus (northern fur seal), 1819 nucleotides. RefSeq lists it as uncharacterized. The record is from RefSeq and is a predicted model, not a curated record. Lineage: Eukaryota; Metazoa; Chordata; Mammalia; Carnivora; Otariidae.